UAAUAGUGUAUAUUAAAGUUGUUGCAGUUAAAAAGCUCGUAGUUGGAUGUUGGUGUCGAACGAGCGGUCAGCUUCGGCUGUACUGCUCUCUCGACUCCUUCCUUCUGUGGACUACGUCGCACUUUACUGUGUGGCGCUAGGACGCAGAUCGUUUACUGUGAAAAAAUUAGAGUGUUCAAAGCAGGCCGUACGCUUGAAUACAUUAGCAUGGAAUAAUGGAAUAGGACGUCGGGCCUAUUUUGUUGGUUCUAGGACCGUCGUAAUGAUUAAUAGGGACAGUUGGGGCCGUUUAUAUUCCGUAGUCAGAGGUGAAAUUCUUGGAUUUACGGAAGAUAAACUACUGCGAAAGCAUUCGGCAAGGAUGUUUUCGUUAA
RNAcentral lists this ribosomal RNA (374 nucleotides) under uncultured eukaryote. RNAcentral's name for it is "partial 18S ribosomal RNA". It matches the Rfam family "Eukaryotic small subunit ribosomal RNA", at positions 592 to 976 of the family's 1831-position model. The record is from RNAcentral.